UACAUGGGGUGCAAACGUUGCUCGGAAUUAUUGGGCGUAAAGCGCACGUAGGCGGUUCGUUAAGUCGGAUGUGAAAGCCCUCGGCUCAACUGAGGAAGUGCACCCGAAACUGGCGAGCUUGAGUACGAAAGAGGAUCGCGGAAUUCCCGGUGUAGAGGUGAAAUUCGUAGAUAUCGGGAGGAACACCGGUGGCGAAGGCGGCGACCUGGUCCUUGACUGACGCUGAGGCGCGAAAGCGUGGGGAGCAAACAGGAUUGAGAAACCC
Molecule: ribosomal RNA, 265 nt
Filed under: uncultured bacterium
Lineage: Bacteria
Description: partial 16S ribosomal RNA
Rfam family: Bacterial small subunit ribosomal RNA
Source: RNAcentral